RNAcentral lists this ribosomal RNA (468 nucleotides) under uncultured bacterium. Its description in RNAcentral is "partial 16S ribosomal RNA". It matches the Rfam family "Bacterial small subunit ribosomal RNA", at positions 28 to 507 of the family's 1533-position model. The record is from RNAcentral.
GACGAACGCUGGCGGCGUGCUUAACACAUGCAAGUCGAACGGAAAGGCCCUGCUUUUGUGGGGUGCUCGAGUGGCGAACGGGUGAGUAACACGUGAGUAACCUGCCCUUGACUUUGGGAUAACUUCAGGAAACUGGGGCUAAUACCGGAUAGGAGCUCCUGCUGCAUGGUGGGGGUUGGACAGUUUCGGCGGUUGGGGAUGGACUCGCGGCUUAUCAGCUUGUUGGUGGGGUAGUGGCUUACCAAGGCUUUGACGGGUAGCCGGCCUGAGAGGGUGACCGGCCACAUGGGGACUGAGAUACGGCCCAGACUCCUACGGGAGGCAGCAGUGGGGAAGAUGGCACAAGGGGCGGAAGCCUGAGACAGCAACGCCGCGUGCGGGAAGACGGCCUUCGGGGUGUAAACCGCUUUCGCCUGUGACGAAGCGUGAGUGACGGUAAUGGGUAAAGAAGCACCGGCUAACUACGUG